Molecule: ribosomal RNA, 253 nt
Filed under: uncultured bacterium
Lineage: Bacteria
Description: partial 16S ribosomal RNA
Rfam family: Bacterial small subunit ribosomal RNA
Source: RNAcentral
UACGUAGGUGGCAAGCGUUGUCCGGAUUUACUGGGCGUAAAGAGCGCGCAGGCGGUUGUUUAAGUCGAAUGUGAAAGCCCCCGGCUCAACUGGGGAGGGUCAUUCGAUACUGAUCGACUUGAAGGCAGGAGAGGGAAGUGGAAUUCCGGGUGUAGUGGUGAAAUGCGUAGAUAUCCGGAGGAACACCAGUGGCGAAGGCGACUUCCUGGCCUGUUCUUGACGCUGAGGCGCGAAAGCGUGGGGAGCGAACAGG